RNAcentral lists this ribosomal RNA (483 nucleotides) under uncultured bacterium. Its description in RNAcentral is "partial 16S ribosomal RNA". It matches the Rfam family "Bacterial small subunit ribosomal RNA", at positions 30 to 507 of the family's 1533-position model. The record is from RNAcentral.
AUUGAACGCUGGCGGCAGGCCUAACACAUGCAAGUCGAGCGGAUGAAGGGAGCUUGCUCCUGGAUUCAGCGGCGGACGGGUGAGUAAUGCCUAGGAAUCUGCCUGGUAGUGGGGAUAACGUCCGGAAACGGGCGCUAAUACCGCAUACGUCCUGAGGGAGAAAGUGGGGGAUCUUCGGACCUCACCCUAUCAGAUGAGCCUAGGUCGGAUUAGCUAGUUGGUGGGGUAAAGGCCUACCAAGGCGACGAUCCGUAACUGGUCUGCGAGGAUGAUCAGUCACACUGGAACUGAGACACGGUCCAGACUCCUACAGGAGGCAGCAGUGGGGAAUAUUGGACAAUGGGCGAAAGCCUGAUCCAGCCAUGCCGCGUGUGUGAAGAAGGUCUUCGGAUUGUAAAACACUUUAAGUUGGGAGGAAGGGCAGUAAGUUAAUACCUUGCUGUUUUGACGUUACCAACAGAAUAAGCACCGGCUAACUUCGUG